UCCACAAAAUAGUUGUGAGAAUUAAAUGAGAUAAUCAUAUAAAGUAUCUGCACAGAUCCUAGACCAAAUGUUCAAUAAAAAGCAGUCAUUAUUUUAUCCUUUCUUUCUUUUUUCUGUGAGACUGGCUUUCCUUCACUGUGACUGAUGAGACACUAACCAAGCUGGGGGAUCAAACAAGGGAUGCUUCACCAAGGGCUGCCGGCUCCUGACUCAGGCCACUGUUGUUAGUCUCCCCUGGCUCCCUCCAAACACCACCUGCCCCUGGGCUUCUGAGCUCACACAAACCACUGUCCCUGCCGCCCUCACCUGCCCAGUGCCUCCGGUGGCCAAGGUAGGUCUGGCAUCCUACCUCGCCACCCCCUGGGUGGGUGGAAUCAGACAUGUCUUUGGAGUGUCACAGUGAGAGAGUUUUAAUAAAAAAUGGUGAUGGAAUGUUUGGGGGAAGGUG
Molecule: long non-coding RNA, 448 nt
Filed under: Felis catus (domestic cat)
Lineage: Eukaryota; Metazoa; Chordata; Mammalia; Carnivora; Felidae
Description: lncRNA (ENSFCAG00000050233.1)
Source: RNAcentral